AGGAUAAUAGUUUAACCAAAACAUUUAACUUGCACUUAAAAAAUUUUGAUCCAAUUAAAUUAUCUU
RNAcentral lists this transfer RNA (66 nucleotides) under Agriotes sp. GTI-28. Its description in RNAcentral is "tRNA-Ala". It matches the Rfam family "tRNA". From Rfam's summary of the family: Transfer RNA (tRNA) molecules are approximately 80 nucleotides in length. Their secondary structure includes four short double-helical elements and three loops (D, anti-codon, and T loops). Further hydrogen bonds mediate the characteristic L-shaped molecular structure. tRNAs have two regions of fundamental functional importance: the anti-codon, which is responsible for specific mRNA codon recognition, and the 3' end, to which the tRNAs corresponding amino acid is attached (by aminoacyl-tRNA synthetases). tRNAs cope with the degeneracy of the genetic code in two manners: having more than one tRNA (with a specific anti-codon) for a particular amino acid; and 'wobble' base-pairing, i.e. permitting non-standard base-pairing at the 3rd anti-codon position. The record is from RNAcentral. Lineage: Eukaryota; Metazoa; Arthropoda; Insecta; Coleoptera; Elateridae.